Molecule: long non-coding RNA, 2152 nt
Organism: Piliocolobus tephrosceles (Ugandan red Colobus)
Lineage: Eukaryota; Metazoa; Chordata; Mammalia; Primates; Cercopithecidae
Source: Ensembl
AAUUUAAAUUGUAUAUAUAAUCACAUAUGUACAAUUACAUAUGUUCCUUAUAAAUUGCUUCUAUAACAUACAUAUAUUUUGUUUUAUUAUUUUUCUUGUACUAUUUUUUUUUUAAGAUUAAGAAAUUUGAAGAGCCCAAACGAGUCUGAGCAUUUAAACCUUUGUAUAUGAAAAGAAAAAAAAAAAAAAAAAAAAAAAAAAAAAAAAAAAANNNNNNNNNNNNNNNNNNNNNNNNNNNNNNNNNNNNNNNNNNNNNNNNNNNNNNNNNNNNNNNNNNNNNNNNNNNNNNNNNNNNNNNNNNNNNNNNNNNNAAAAAAAAAAAAAAAAAACAACAACAACAGCAAAAAUAAAAAAAAUAAAGAAGUAAACAAAAAUAAAUAAAAAAAAAAAAAAAAAAAGCAAAUUAAAUUAAAAAACAAAAAUAUAAACAAUAAGUGAAAAAGUAAAAGUUAAAUGAAAAUUUUAAACCCUCUAUAUGCUAUAAAUGAAUGAAAACAAUUGUUAACGUUUUUUUUUUUUUUUUUUUUUUUUUGUGAAAAUAUUUUUUUUUACUCAUUUUAUAUAAUUAUUAAAUAUAUAAUUUUAUUAAGCCUAAUUUACUUUUUUUUUUUUUUUUGCUUUUCCAUUUUUGAACUUAUAAACAAAACAAGCUUUCUAUCUGCAUUAAAAAUUAAAAAAAAAAAAAAAAAAAAAAAAAAAAAAAGAGUAAAAUUAUGUUUUUGCAUUUAUUUAUUUAUGUCAUAUAUCUAUAUUUAUACACUUGUGAAUAUAUUUAUAUGUAUGUAUGUAUGGUUUAACUUUUCAAUAUAAACUUUUAUUUUUUAUUUAUAAAAACUAAAAUAAAAGCUUAUAUUUUAAACGGAUAAAACAAAAUAUGUAUAUAUAUAUGUGUAUAUAUAUCACAUAUAUAUAAAUUAUGUAAAUUAUUCAAAUGGGUAAAAACAGGCAAAAAUGUCAAAAAAAUAAAAACAAUGUUGAUAACACACAUUUAAACAACAAACCUUCUUUAUGGUCCCGCUUAAUUAAUAAAGAAAAAAACUUCUUUGAUAAAGCCUUUGAAGAAAACCUAGCAAAUUUUCAAAAAUUAUCUUUAAAAGAUGAAGACAAUUGUGUGGUACAAGAAGAAGAACUUACAGAAGAAAAUAAUUCACAAACAUUAGAAAAAAAAUUUGAAAAAUUAAAUAAUAAAAGAAAAAAAAAAAAAAAAAAGAAAAUUAAAGAUGAUAAAAAAUACAAAAAGAAAGGUAUCACAAAUAAUAAACUUUUAUUUUAUACUUUUAUACUUUUUUUUUUGUUUUUUUUUUUUUUACUUUAUUACACACAUCAUAAUACUAGUUUAAAAUGUAAAAAAAAUAUUCGAAUAAAUUCAUUGUGUGAAUCUAUUACUACCAUCAUGAUUAUCAUUAAUACUAUUUUUAUUAUAAUUCUUAGUAUUUUGUAAAUGAAUUAACAAUUUACACUUAUACGAUAAGUUACAAUUUAAGCAACACCUUGAAUUCGUAAAUAUAAAUAAUAAGAUGUUGCUUUGUGUGUUAUUCUGUUAAUAUGUAACUGACAUGAAUUUCCCACAUCAUAGAAUAUAUAAAUAUAUAUUUGAGCUUUAUAUGUGUAUAUAUAACAAUAUGUUUUUACAAAUGAAAAUUAUAACACUUUUAAUUGCUUUAUUUGUUAAACGUAUCAUAAACAGCAAAUAAUUAUUUUCUCCUAUCACAUGUUCAUCCUUUUUAUGUGUAUACGUAUAUACGCAUACAUGUAUACAUGCGUGAACGUAUAUAUAUAUAUAUAUUUUUACAUAUACUAAUGAAGUUAUACAUUAAAACAUUUUAUUAUUAUUAUUAUUUUUUUUUUUUUUUUUAGUCGAAAAGAAGAACGAAAAGAAAACAUUUUAAAUGAAUAGAAGAUAAAAUUUAUAAUUUAUGUUUUUAAAAGUUGAUAUAUGUACUUUUUUUUUUUUUUUAUUUUUUUAUUUUUUUUAAUAAUUCAUAUACAUUUUUUAUUAUAAAUUUAUUCAUUUGUAUUGUUAUAGUUAGUGUUACUGUUGUUACGUUUUGACUCUUGUUACUAUUAUCAUUAUUUGUAGUAGUUAUUUUUACAAUUAUUAAUUGUCUAAUUUAUAAAUAAAUACAUUUUUUUUUUUUUUUUUUUUUUUUGU